GGGCGCUUAGCUCAGCGGUAGAGCGUCUCCUUUACACGGAGAGGGUCGGGGGUUCGAAACCCUCAGCGCCCACCA
This 75-nucleotide transfer RNA is filed under the name Solilutibacter silvestris. RNAcentral's name for it is "Lysobacter silvestris tRNA-Val". It matches the Rfam family "tRNA". Rfam says of the family: Transfer RNA (tRNA) molecules are approximately 80 nucleotides in length. Lineage: Bacteria; Pseudomonadati; Pseudomonadota; Gammaproteobacteria; Lysobacterales; Lysobacteraceae. The record is from RNAcentral. RNAcentral also lists the same sequence under 4 other names.